GACGAACGCUGGCGGCGUGCUUAACACGUGCAAGUCGAACGGAAAGGCCCUGCUUUUGUGGGGUGCUCGAGUGGCGAACGGGUGAGUAACACGUGAGUAACCUGCCCUUGACUUUGGGAUAACUUCAGGAAACUGGGGCUAAUACCGGAUAGGAGCUCCUGCUGCAUGGUGGGGGUUGGAAAGUUUCGGCGGUUGGGGAUGGACUCGCGGCUUAUCAGCUUGUUGGUGGGGUAGUGGCUUACCAAGGCUUUGACGGGUAGCCGGCCUGAGAGGGUGACCGGCCACAUGGGAACUGAGAUACGGCCCAGACUCCUACGGGAGGAAGCGGUGGGGAAUAUUGCACAAGGGGCGGAAGCCUGAUGCAGCACCGCGGCGUGCGGGAUGACGGCCUUCGGGUUGUAAACCGCUUUCGCCUGUGACGAAGCGUGGGUGACGGUAAUGGGAAAAGAAGCACCGGCUAACUACGU
RNAcentral lists this ribosomal RNA (467 nucleotides) under uncultured bacterium. Its description in RNAcentral is "partial 16S ribosomal RNA". It matches the Rfam family "Bacterial small subunit ribosomal RNA", at positions 28 to 506 of the family's 1533-position model. The record is from RNAcentral.